Molecule: long non-coding RNA, 447 nt
Organism: Physeter macrocephalus (sperm whale)
Lineage: Eukaryota; Metazoa; Chordata; Mammalia; Artiodactyla; Physeteridae
Exons: 3
Source: RefSeq, a predicted model, not a curated record
UGCAGUUCCAACGCUAAAUGAGUCUGCACAGUGCGCAGCAGGGUUCUUCGUGCUGGAAGCUAUUCCUAUACUAGGACGGCUACAAUAACUAUACCCGAGUUGUGAUUGCAGUUACUCUAUUCUCUCUUGGCCAUUGUGGAGUAAUGGCAUGUUGGGGAGGUUAUCAUUCAGGCCACAGUUUACAGGACCCUGAGAACACAUGUAAUUCUGAAGUAAAAGAAUGUAAGUCACCUGGAGAUUUGGAACUCAAGACUCAGGCCUGACUGAUCAAAGCACCACACAUUCCUGACCACAAGGUCUUGUUCAGGGAUGGACACGUGACCUCAGAACCAAAAGGGUGAAAUAUUGGAAUACUUGCUGGGACUACUGAGAAAGGAGUACUCUUUUUUUUACAGCUGGAUCUGAACCUGGAAGGUAACUCCACAGUUAUCUUUCCUCCACAUAGAG